This 460-nucleotide ribosomal RNA is filed under the name uncultured bacterium. RNAcentral describes it as "bacterial SSU rRNA". It matches the Rfam family "Bacterial small subunit ribosomal RNA", at positions 50 to 507 of the family's 1533-position model. The record is from RNAcentral.
AACACAUGCAAGUCGAACGAAGCACUUAAUGAGAUUUCUUCGGAUUGAUUAUUUUGUGACUGAGUGGCGGACGGGUGAGUAACGCGUGGGGUAACCUGCCCCCAGACCGGGGGAUAACAGUCGGAAACGACUGCUAAUACCGCAUAAGCGCACAGUGCCGCAUGGCACAGUGUGAAAAAACUCCGGUGGUCUGGGAUGGACCCGCGUCCGAUUAGUUAGUUGGCGGGGUAACGGCCCACCAAGACCGCGAUCGGUAGCCGACCUGAGAGGGUGACCGGCCACAUUGGGACUGAGACACGGCCCAGACUCCUACGGGAGGCAGCAGUGGGGAAUAUUGCACAAUGGAGGAAACUCUGAUGCAGCGACGCCGCGUGAGCGAAGAAGUAUUUCGGUAUGUAAAGCUCUGUCAGCAGGGAAGAUAAUGACGGUACCUGACCAAGAAGCCCCGGCUAACUACGUG